RNAcentral lists this unclassified non-coding RNA (343 nucleotides) under soil metagenome. RNAcentral describes it as "partial contains 5.8S ribosomal RNA, internal transcribed spacer 2, and large subunit ribosomal RNA". The stretch from base 1 to 120 matches the Rfam family "5.8S ribosomal RNA", at positions 35 to 154 of the family's 154-position model. The record is from RNAcentral.
GAUGAAGAACGCAGCGAAAUGCGAUAAGUAAUGUGAAUUGCAGAAUCCAGUGAAUCAUCGAAUCUUUGAACGCACAUUGCGCCCGCCAGCAUUCUGGCGGGCAUGCCUGCUCGAGCGUCAUUUCAACCCUCGACCUCCCUUUGGGGAAGUCGGCGUUGGGGACCGGCAGCACACCGCCGGCCCUGAAAUGGAGUGGCGGCCCGUCCGCGGCGACCUCUGCGUAGUAAACCAACUCGCACCGGAACCCCGACGUGGCCACGCCGUAAAACACCCAACUUCUGAACGUUGACCUCGAAUCAGGUAGGACUACCCGCUGAACUUAAGCAUAUCAAUAAGCGGAGGA